This 105-nucleotide microRNA precursor is filed under the name Canis lupus familiaris (dog). Its description in RNAcentral is "mir-8834 microRNA precursor family". It matches the Rfam family "mir-8834 microRNA precursor family". Lineage: Eukaryota; Metazoa; Chordata; Mammalia; Carnivora; Canidae. The record is from Rfam by way of RNAcentral. RNAcentral also lists the same sequence under 2 other names.
AGGAGGAACAACCCCAGUGGUGGGGCCAGCUCUGGAGCCCUGGAGUCAGCCCCCGCAGUAACUCCGGAGCUCUCCGUCUGCAGGGCCUGGAGGCUCCGGGGCGGG